Long non-coding RNA from Poecilia latipinna (sailfin molly), 528 nucleotides. RefSeq lists it as uncharacterized. The record is from RefSeq and is a predicted model, not a curated record. NCBI's taxonomy places the organism in Eukaryota, Metazoa, Chordata, Actinopteri, Cyprinodontiformes, Poeciliidae. The transcript has 3 exons.
CCUGUUAGCCAGGUAUCAUGUCAGCCUGUUAGCCAGGUAUCAUGUCAGCCUGUUAACCAGGUAUCAUGUCAGCCUGUUAGCCAGGUAUCCUGUUAGCCAGGUAUCAUGUCAGCCUGUUAGCCAGGUAGCCUGUUAGCCAGAUGUCAUGUCAGCCUGUUAGCCAGGUAUCAUGUCAGCCUGUUAGCCAGGUAUCAUGUCAGCCUGUUAGCCAGGUAGCCUGUUAGCCAGAUGUCAUGUCAGCCUGUUAGCCAGGUAUCAUGUCAGCCUGUUAGCCAAGUAUCCUGUUAGCCAGGUAUCAUGUCAGCCUGGUAGCAAAGUACCCUGUUAGCCAGGUAUCAUGUCAGCCUGUUAGCCAGGUAUCAUGUUAGCCAGGUAUCAUGUCAGCCUGUUAGCCAAGUAUCCUGUUAACCAGGUAUCAUGUCUGCCUGUUAGCCAGGUAUCAUGUCAGCCUGUUAGCCAGGUAUCAUGUCAGCCUGUUAGCCAACGUCUCCUCCUCCUGGUUCUACCUCCUGAGCUGUCAUGUGUCCU